GAAUUGUAAUUUGUAGAAGAUGCUUCGGGUGUGGUUCCGGUCUAAGUUCCUUGGAACAGGACGUCAUAGAGGGUGAGAAUCCCGUAUGUGACUGGAUACCUAUGCUCAUGUGAAGCUCUUUCGAC
Molecule: ribosomal RNA, 125 nt
Filed under: Botrytis cinerea
Lineage: Eukaryota; Fungi; Ascomycota; Leotiomycetes; Helotiales; Sclerotiniaceae
Description: partial large subunit ribosomal RNA
Rfam family: Eukaryotic large subunit ribosomal RNA
Source: RNAcentral